This 1602-nucleotide ribosomal RNA is filed under the name Triticum aestivum (bread wheat). RNAcentral describes it as "partial small subunit ribosomal RNA". The record is from RNAcentral. Lineage: Eukaryota; Viridiplantae; Streptophyta; Magnoliopsida; Poales; Poaceae.
AUGGAGCGUAUGACAGCCUCAUAUUACAAGGAGGUCUUCGUUAAAGACCCUACCUUGUCGCCGGACAUGGUGUUAGAUUGCAUCGAGCCUAGAGUGACAGACGCGAUGAAUAAUAUUUUAUGUGCUAAAUUUUCUGAACAGGAAGUGUCUGAUGCAUUGUUCCAGAUUGGGCCUCUUAAGGCUCCCGGUCCAGAUGGUUUUCCUGGAAGAUUCUACCAGAGGAACUGGACUUGUCUCAAGUCAGAGAUUAUUGCGGCGGUUUUAUCUUUCUUUGAUUCAGGUGUUAUGCUGGCUGGGGUUAAUGACACCUCCAUUGUGUUGAUUCCUAAGGUAGACCAUCCUUCUGAUCUCAAGGAUUUUCGCCCUAUCAACUUAUGCAAUGUCAUUUAUAAAAUUGUUUCGAAGUGCCUGGUUAAUAGGCUUCGGCCUCUACUUGAUGAUCUUAUUUCACCGAAUCAAAGUGCUUUUAUUCCGGGAAGACUUAUCUCUGACAAUGCGAUCAUUGCUUUUGAGUGUGUUCACUAUAUUGAUUCCAUCCGGGGUGAUGAUGUUCCAUACCGUGCUUACAAGCUCGACCUUUCGAAGGCCUAUGACCGUGUUGAUUGGAGUUUUUUGGAGAAAUCUCUUCUGAAGUGGGGCUUUGCACCGACAUGGGUUUCUAUUGUUAUGGAAUGUGUUUCAUCAGUGAAAUAUUCUGUUAAGUUGAAUGGCAAACUUCUGGAGCAAUUCUCCCCAUCUCGGGGUUUACGUCAAGGUGAUCCAUUGUCCCCAUUCUUGUUCUUAUUUGUUGCUGAUGCUCUUUCUGCAUUGUUGAACAAGUCAAUGGCGGACCAUGCUUUGGAGCCGGUGGUUAUUUGUCGGAACGCGCCGGCAAUAUCCCACCUACUAUUUGCAGACGAUUCCCUCUUAUUUUUUCGUGCAAGUGCUGAGCAAGCUACAGUUGUGAAGGAUGUUUUGAGCAUGUAUGCGACGGCUACUGGGCAAUUGAUUAAUCCGUCGAAGUGUUCCAUUCUUUUCUCUGGGAAUUGCCCUAGCACGGUUUCACAAGAGGUAAUGGGUAUUUUGGAGAUCACUCAGGAAAUAUUUGAUCCUAAGUAUCUUGGGUUGCCAGUGCCUACGGGCAGAAUGCAUAAAGGGUGGUUUCAAACUAUUCAAGCGAGACUAAGUAAGAGGCUAGUUGACUGGAGCGAGAAAUCUAUGGCGUCCUCUAGCAAAGAGAUUCUUAUUAAAUCAGUGGCUCAGGCAAUUCCCACUUAUGUGAUGAGUGUCUUUAAACUCCCUUAUUCAGUUUGUGACGAUCUUACAAGAAUGAUGCGUCAAUACUGGUGGGGAGUUGAGAAUGGUCGAAGGAAGAUGGCAUGGGUUGCUUGGGACAAGCUUACUCUUCCAAAGCAGAAAGGAGGCCUUGGUUUUAGGGAUAUGAGGGCCUUUAAUCAAGCACUCUUGGCCAAGCAAGCAUGGCGGUUGAUUGUGAAACCAGAUAGUCUAUGUGCUCGUUUGUUGAAGGCUAGAUACUUCCCUAAUGGUAAUUUGGUUGAUACGGUAUUUUCAGGGAAUUCUUCUGCAGUUUGGGAAGGCAUUGAGCACGGUCUGCCGUUGCUG